RNAcentral lists this long non-coding RNA (503 nucleotides) under Mus spicilegus (steppe mouse). RNAcentral's name for it is "lncRNA (ENSMSIG00000011431.1)". Lineage: Eukaryota; Metazoa; Chordata; Mammalia; Rodentia; Muridae. The record is from RNAcentral.
UUGGAUAAUUCAUAAUCUGUUUGAAGGAGAAGGGUGUGAUAGAGUCCAGAGCUGGCUUGGAAGAAGAGUCCUUUCAUAUGAAAAGAACGUGAACGGUUCAUGGGUGUGAGGAGCCACAGAAGAAUGCAAGAACAGCCACACGAUCUUUCUGCCUUGCCUCCACUCUCCUGCAGCGUUGACUCCGAGGCUCUUUCAUCAGAGACUCCGAGAACAAGAAAUGCUUUAUAUUGUCCUCAGGAGAAACCAGUUACUACAAGGAUGCCCACCUCUGACGUAUAUGAACUUCCAUCUGUCAAUCAAACUCCAAGGAGAAGCUGAAGCUAGAUAAGCCAUGGGGUUGGAGAGGAGUGUGUAUGUGACUUGGAAUCUGAUGAGCUGCAAGUGAGAGGAAAGGCAGGGUCGAGGCUGCCUCCACAUAUCUGUUGUACAGCAGAGAAGAGGUUCCUGGAGGAAGAGGGAGUUUCCUCUUGUUAUGUUGACUUUGAGGUGCCUCUGUAGACAAG